UUGAGGCGUUUACUUGACGCU
RNAcentral lists this unclassified non-coding RNA (21 nucleotides) under Chlamydomonas reinhardtii. RNAcentral's name for it is "small RNA Cre_3910". Lineage: Eukaryota; Viridiplantae; Chlorophyta; Chlorophyceae; Chlamydomonadales; Chlamydomonadaceae. The record is from RNAcentral.